UGUUGCCCAGGCUGGUCUCAAACUCCUGAGCUCAAAGUGACCCCCCCACUUCGACCUCCCAAAGUGCCCAGCUCCAUCUUAGGUUUUGCAGCAAUCACCCUGGGUACACAUAUGGAGAAUGGAAUGAAGAGGUAAGCACUGGAGGCAGAAAGACCAGUUAUGGAAUCAUUUGUUGUCUCUGUAAGAAAUGAUGAAGUCCAGAACGAAUUUCCAGAACUGGUAGUGGGUAGGAAAUAAGAAGACAAAUUUGACAGCAAUUGGGAGUUGAAAUCAAGAAUUGGUGAGACACUGAGGAUGACUAUAAAGUCUGGAAAUUAGGUGGAUGGUGAUGCUUUCUAUUCAAGAUCAGAAC
This 352-nucleotide long non-coding RNA is filed under the name Homo sapiens (human). RNAcentral describes it as "HSALNT0385071". Lineage: Eukaryota; Metazoa; Chordata; Mammalia; Primates; Hominidae. The record is from RNAcentral.